AAAUCUCAACGCAGGACUCUCGGUGGAAUGCGGAGGAUCUACGCUAUUUCCGUAGUGACCCGGAUGACGCAUGAGGAACACUUCCGCUGAUUGCGGUGCAGUGUAGAGGGAAGCGGCGGAGAAUGCGCGGCUCAUUGUUAUGAUCUCGGAGAUCGCUGUGUGAUCUCCGGAGAUCAGAGAACAUGACUCGUGUAUAUUGGGCUUAGUAUGUCAACAUCGGGUUAGAUGGCCGGGCAGCCCUUUGCGCUCCCUGAUCAUCACGGAGCAGAACUUCUCCAUCUCCACCGUACAUAGAGAUCAUUUCUCUGUCCAUAUCACCGUACGCUGGCCUUGUCAUAACAUGGCCACUGACCCGAGUCUGCACAUCGCCAGUCCCUCCUCUCAUAAACUCUCCGAUUGGCUACCUCCGGAGCUGAAGGAUCAUUUACUGCAUGCAGAUUAACCAAUCAGGCCACUGGGAGCACUAGAAGUGUCAUCUCCUGUCCGAGCUGUAUGUGAAAUGUUUUUUGGAAAGGAUACAGAAGCAUUGCUGAUACACUGUUCAGAUUCGCUUGAAUUUGCUGCACGUUCUACUUCAACACACCUGGUAAGGAGCUUUCCCACUCUACAUCAGGAGCUGAGACAGGACAAAGUGUACAGCAGUGAUGAUCGCACGGCUCCCCUAUGCUUGUGGACAUGAUGCUAAUUGAUCCUGCAGAUGUCUGCUGCAGCAUUUUGAAGGUCAAGCAAGAUCCGAUAAUACCGUAAGUUGCUGAGCAUGGAUAACCACAGAAAAGCAUGUUUCUGAAUUCUGUAAAUGCGAAAAAAAGGGAAGAAAGACUGGGACUGGCCUUUCUACAGAGGAGUCUAUUAGACCAUAAUGAAACCGUGCUGCUCCCAGACUUCUCGUGGAGCAUUGUUGUCUUUGUAUUAGUGGUACAAAGCGAGUGGGACAGAAAUGCUGCCUGUCGUGCCAACUGACUGACAAUAAUUUGCAUCAUAGGUCACUAGCAAUGAUAAAAGAACAAGAUAAAGUGUUCUUGAAUGGAUAAUGGAACCCAUUUCAUGUAAACCUGUACACAUCCUCAUAAAUUAGUAUGUAUUGGAAGAAUGUUAAGGUCUGAUGGAAAUAAUACCGUUACAGUAUGAACAACUCAGUGCUGUGACGUUACCUCACUGGUCCGGUAAUAUGCUUCUCAUCAAGAAAAGUGCCAGGAAAUGUGAUCUUCUGAAUGACUAUGCCAACAGAUUUGACGAGCAUGAAAUCCAUUUACUUUGCGGCAUGCUCUGCACUAUUAAUUUGAUUCCAGUACUAUAUAAACACUUGGCCAUGGAGAGGAUAUCUAGUGGUAAUACAUACUGACCUAAUGAGGAGUAAUAAUCUUUGACUUGUUUUGUAUUUUCAUAACCCCGCAUCUUGUAUUUUUUUUUUUUUUUUUUUAGGGGGUGAUUCAUGUUACAGAAAGGGUUAAACCUAUAGGGUGCAGGAAUUGCCACAAAAUAUUGUGCAACUCAAUAUGGCAGCAACAGUUGGGUAGAUAAGUGUCACUGAAGGACCAUUGUCAACAUGGCAGGAUGGAUUUGAUUUACGAACACUGGUUUGUGAUAUGCGACUACAGAAUCUUGGGGACAAAGUUGAAUUUCCAGGUAUUUCUUACACACAGGAUUCUGAUUUAUUUUUCGUUGGUCGAAUAUUAAAUAUGUCAAGAUGCUGUG
Long non-coding RNA from Rana temporaria (common frog), 1695 nucleotides. RefSeq lists it as uncharacterized. The transcript is spliced from 5 exons. The record is from RefSeq and is a predicted model, not a curated record. Lineage: Eukaryota; Metazoa; Chordata; Amphibia; Anura; Ranidae.